GCAGUCAUGGCCGAGUGGUUAAGGCGAUGGACUAGAAAUUCAUUGGGGUCUCCCCGUACAGGUCCGAAUCCGUGUCGACUGCG
Non-coding RNA from Ixodes scapularis (black-legged tick), 83 nucleotides. The record is from Rfam. NCBI's taxonomy places the organism in Eukaryota, Metazoa, Arthropoda, Arachnida, Ixodida, Ixodidae.